RNAcentral lists this ribosomal RNA (602 nucleotides) under fungal endophyte. RNAcentral's name for it is "eukaryotic LSU rRNA". The stretch from base 180 to 333 matches the Rfam family "5.8S ribosomal RNA". Lineage: Eukaryota; Fungi. The record is from RNAcentral.
UUAAAGAGUUCUAUAACUCCCAAACCCAUGUGAACAUACCUAACGUUGCCUCGGCAGGUCGCACCUACCUUGUAGCACCCUACCCUGUAGGGCCUACCCGGGAGAUGCGGGUAAGCCUGCCGGCGGCCCACCAAACUCUGUUUAAUAUUGAAUUCUGAACAUAUAACUAAAUAAGUUAAAACUUUCAACAACGGAUCUCUUGGUUCUGGCAUCGAUGAAGAACGCAGCGAAAUGCGAUAAGUAAUGUGAAUUGCAGAAUUCAGUGAAUCAUCGAAUCUUUGAACGCAUAUUGCGCCCAUUAGUAUUCUAGUGGGCAGGACCGUUCGAGCGUCAUUUCGACCCUUAAGCCUUAGUUGCUUAGUGUUGGGAGCCUACGGCAACGUAGCUCCUCAAAGUUAGUGGCGGAGUUGGUUCACACUCUAGACGUAGUAAUUUUUUAUCUCGCCUAUUAGUUGGACUGAUCCCCUGCCGUAAAACCCCCAACUUAUCAAGGUUGACCUCGAAUCGGUUCAGACAAACUCGCUAAAUUGAAGCAUCUUAGUCAGCGAAGGAAAAGAAACCAACAGGGAUUGCCCUAGUAACGGCGAGUGAAGCGGCAACAG